GGUUGCCGAAUGGAAGACAGGAGAUUGCGUCGUUGCACUUUCACCUCGCUGCAAUCCCCGUCUAUCCGAUCGGCUCACUG
Molecule: microRNA precursor, 80 nt
Filed under: Haemonchus contortus (barber pole worm)
Lineage: Eukaryota; Metazoa; Nematoda; Chromadorea; Rhabditida; Trichostrongylidae
Description: microRNA hco-mir-7 precursor
Gene: hco-mir-7
Source: miRBase by way of RNAcentral